Long non-coding RNA from Octopus bimaculoides (California two-spot octopus), 1265 nucleotides. RefSeq lists it as uncharacterized. Lineage: Eukaryota; Metazoa; Mollusca; Cephalopoda; Octopoda; Octopodidae. The record is from RefSeq and is a predicted model, not a curated record.
GUUUGACGUCACGUGAAUCGUAAGCGUUACUACACCCGCCACCAGUUUCUCUCCGUCUCAACAAUUUCUCUGUUCAUAUCAACAAAUACCGCCGAGGUCGACUUUACUUUUCAUCCGUUCGGAGUCAAUAAAUGAAGUAUGAGCGAAACACUGGGGUCGAAAUGUAAACUCAUGUGGUUAAUAAAGAAAUCAUCAUCCUCUUCAUCAUCAUCAUCAUCAUCAUCAUCAUUAUCGUCGUCGUUGUCGUCAUCAUCAUCAUCAUCAUCGUCAUUAUUGCUGUGAUUGAUUUUGUUCACCAUGUACAAGCACAAGGCCCGAAAUUUUGGGGGAAUUGGCCAGUAGAUUAGAUCGACUCAGUACGCAACUGGUACUUAAUUUGUUGGCCUCCAAAGGACGAAAGGAAAAGCCGACCUCGGCGGAAUUUGAACUCAGAACAUAAAGACAGACGAAAUACCGCUAAGCAUUUCGCCCGGCGUGCUAACGUUUCUGCCAGCUCGCCGCCUUCGUUGGUAUUAUUAUUAUUUUAUGUAUUACUUGUAUCUAUACUGUUGAAUUUAUUGUUGAAUAUUUGUUGUUUUUGUGUUGUUAAAACAAUUUGUUUUGCUGCCUUGCAGCAGUGUUGUUAACAUUUCCCCCUUUGUUUGAGGAGGAAGCGCUGUGUUAUUGUCAUGGAAUACGAGAGCAUGAGUUCGUCAGAUAUAAUAUCGUCGUCGUCGAACAUGGACAGAAAAAUGGAAGAAAAGAAUUUUCCAACGAGAAAAUACGUUUUGUGAGAAGGGAGCUGGAAAGGUGCAAGGAAUUAAUACGAAGAGAGGGGCACGAAGUUAAGGUGACACCUCCUAGUGAGAUUACAAGAUUAACGAUGGUGAAGACAAUUUUGUAUAGGACGUGCGGAAGACACGUAUGAAAGGAAUGGUGACAAGUGUCUUCAUCUUCGGUCUGGGGUUGGUAAACUUCUUUGUUUUUCACCUCAGAAGGAAAAUAAGGCUGAAGAGGAGAUGCUUUUCACCUAGUACAUACGGAAAAAGAUGGAAGGAAGGUGCGAAUAUGCUGAGAGUAAAUGAACCUACUUGAGCAAGAACAUAAAGGUAAUCAAAGAGCUCAGUGGUGGAACGGGGCUUGUCGAACCCGUCCCCACUUCCUUUUGUUAUUUCAUUUCGUUUAUUCAUAUCAAAUUUUAAUUAUAUGUUAUGCAUCUUGUUCAUCAUGCGAUCCCCGACUCCCUGACGUUGUAUUGUCUCUCUAUGUUGGUCCCUCGUGGACAA